AUCCUUUUGUAGUUCAUAAGCAUGAUGACUGGUUGUUCACACCACUGUGACAUGUGCCUUCCUCAAACCUGUUACGACCUUGGCACAUUACCCGUCUGAUG
This is a small nucleolar RNA of Leptonychotes weddellii (Weddell seal), 101 nucleotides long. RefSeq annotates it as small nucleolar RNA U13. NCBI's taxonomy places the organism in Eukaryota, Metazoa, Chordata, Mammalia, Carnivora, Phocidae. The record is from RefSeq and is a predicted model, not a curated record.